RNAcentral lists this ribosomal RNA (301 nucleotides) under uncultured Slackia sp. RNAcentral's name for it is "bacterial SSU rRNA". It matches the Rfam family "Bacterial small subunit ribosomal RNA", at positions 495 to 795 of the family's 1533-position model. The record is from RNAcentral. Lineage: Bacteria; Bacillati; Actinomycetota; Coriobacteriia; Eggerthellales; Eggerthellaceae.
UGCGUCUGGUGGGCCGGCGGGCGCGGAAAUACGGUGUGGGGUGGCGUUGGCAGGACUGAUUGGGCUGAAAGGGCUGGUGGGGGGGCGGUGGCGUCGGCCGUGAAAAUCCGGGGCGCAACCCCGGACGUGCGGUGGGUACGGGCAGACGAGAGUGUGGUAGGGGAGACUGGAAUUCCUGGUGUAGCGGUGAAAUGCGCAGAUAUCAGGAGGAACACCGAUGGCGAAGGCAGGUCUCUGGGCCACUACUGACGCUGAGAAGCGAAAGCGUGGGGAGCGAACAGGAUUAGAUACCCUGGUAGUC